This 385-nucleotide unclassified non-coding RNA is filed under the name uncultured bacterium. Its description in RNAcentral is "contains 16S-23S intergenic spacer region". The record is from RNAcentral.
UCCUAGUUUCCUAGGCAGUCCCAUCAGAGUGCCUCUUAAAAAGAGUUGCAACUGACAGUAGGGGUUGCGCUCGUUAAAGGACUUAACCCAACAUCUCACGACACGAGCUGACGACAGCCAUGCAGCACCUGUGUACAUGUUCAAGUUUACACUUGAAAAACCAUAUUUCUACAGCGGUCAUGUACAUGUCAAACCCAGGUAAGGUUCCUCGCGUAGUAUCGAAUUAAACCACAUGUUCCACCGCUUGUGCGGACCCCCGUCAAUUCCUUUGAGUUUUAAUCUUGCGACCGUACUCCCCAGGCGGAUCACUUAUCGCGUUAGCUACGACACUGAUUCCGCAAAGCGAAACCAACGUCUAGUGAUCAUCGUUUACAGCGUGGACUAC